GGAAAUGUGCCUGAACCAAAGGACUAUUUUGAUAGAAUAGAUCAUAGGAGCCAAACUCCUCAUUUCCC
This 68-nucleotide transfer RNA is filed under the name Varanus spenceri. RNAcentral describes it as "tRNA-Ile". The record is from RNAcentral. Lineage: Eukaryota; Metazoa; Chordata; Lepidosauria; Squamata; Varanidae.